UUGCCAUACCCAAAUUUUCGGUCUCCUGUGCUUCUUCGCAUCGCAAUAUCACUUUUGUCACAGCGUUCGCCAUUUUGUUUGAAACCGACUAACUACAGGUUCAACGAUGAAAAGUUCUCGAAUAUCUUGGGAAACACAUUCGUGAGAAAUAUUUAUUUUAGUAAAGAUCUUUCGGAAAUAAAUUUAUUCGAUUCGUUCAUCGUUCGUCCUUGACAACGUCCGUUCGGAAGAUGUCGUUGGCAGAUCAAAAUUGCAUUUUACGUUUCGACGGAUGGAAGUUUAAUGCGUCGCAAGAAAAAAAAAAAAAGAAGAAAAUAACGGAUAGGAGGUAAAGAGGCAAGUGUAUGAAUCAGAGACGUAGAUCGUGGCAUUGAUCAAGGUUCCUGAUCUAUCUAGAUUUACGGAUAAGAUUCACUAGAAAUAUGACGAUUUGGCACAUUGCUUUCCCAUGUGUAGGACAUUAAAAUGUCACCGAAACAAAGAGUAGGAUCAAAACCAGAGUAUCCUUGCAAUUUAUUAUUGGAUGUAGCUAAAGAUGCUGUAAAAGAUGAAAUUAUUUAACGAAAGAUAGGUGGACUCAUUUUCUACGACUCGGAAGAUAAAACAGAAAUCUAGAUAUUUACUGACGUCGGUAAGAAGAUUGAUAGGAGUGCUUACAAAACAGCAUUAAAAAGUUGGCAUAGAACCUCAACAGCU
Molecule: long non-coding RNA, 696 nt
Filed under: Polistes fuscatus (common paper wasp)
Lineage: Eukaryota; Metazoa; Arthropoda; Insecta; Hymenoptera; Vespidae
Description: uncharacterized LOC122514952, transcript variant X1
Source: RNAcentral